This 464-nucleotide ribosomal RNA is filed under the name uncultured bacterium. Its description in RNAcentral is "partial 16S ribosomal RNA". It matches the Rfam family "Bacterial small subunit ribosomal RNA", at positions 28 to 506 of the family's 1533-position model. The record is from RNAcentral.
GAUGAACGCUGGCGGCGUGCUUAACACAUGCAAGUCGAACGGAAAGGCUCCUGCUUGCAGGGGUACUCGAGUGGCGAACGGGUGAGUAACACGUGGGUGAUCUGCCCUGCACUUCGGGAUAAGCCUGGGAAACUGGGUCUAAUACCGGAUAGGACGAUGGUUUGGAUGCCAUUGUGGAAAGUUUUUCGGUGUGGGAUGAGCUCGCGGCCUAUCAGCUUGUUGGUGGGGUAAUGGCCUACCAAGGCGUCGACGGGUAGCCGGCCUGAGAGGGUGUACGGCCACAUUGGGACUGAGAUACGGCCCAGACUCCUACGGGAGGCAGCAGUGGGGAAUAUUGCACAAUGGGCGCAAGCCUGAUGCAGCGACGCCGCGUGGGGGAUGACGGCCUUCGGGUUGUAAACUCCUUUCGCUAGGGACGAAGCGCAAGGGACGGUACCUGGAGAAGAAGCACCGGCUAACUACGG